CGUGUAGGCGGCGUGAUAAGUCAGAUGUGAAAUCCCUGGGCUCAACCCAGGAAGUGCAUUUGAAACUGUCUUGCUUGAGUACGGGAGAGGGAAGAGGAAUUCCUGGUGUAGAGGUGAAAUUCGUAGAUAUCAGGAGGAACACCGGUGGCGAAGGCGACUUCCUGGCCCGAUACUGACGCUGAGACGCGAGAGCGUGGGGAGCAAACA
Molecule: ribosomal RNA, 207 nt
Filed under: uncultured Pseudomonadota bacterium
Lineage: Bacteria; Pseudomonadati; Pseudomonadota
Description: uncultured proteobacterium partial 16S ribosomal RNA
Rfam family: Bacterial small subunit ribosomal RNA
Source: RNAcentral